UGUGCAAUUGCUAGAUUGUACGGUAAGAGUAUGAUUAGUUUUGUAAGAGACUUCUGCACUGUCUUCCAAAGUUACUAUACUGAUUUGCAUUCCCACCAGCAAU
RNAcentral lists this microRNA precursor (103 nucleotides) under Marmota monax (woodchuck). Lineage: Eukaryota; Metazoa; Chordata; Mammalia; Rodentia; Sciuridae. The record is from RNAcentral.